GACGGAGGCCCCGAGCGUUGUUCGGAAUUACUGGGCUUAAAGAGCGUGUAGGCGGGACUGUAAGUACUGUGUGAAAGCCCCGGGCUCAACCCGGGAAUUGCUUAGUAUACUACAGUUCUUGAGGCAGGUAGGGGUCACUGGAACCUUAGGUGGAGCGGUGAAAUGCGUAGAUAUCUAAGGGAACGCCUGUGGCGAAAGCGGGUGACUGGGCCUGUCCUGACGCUGAGACGCGAAAGCGUAGGGAGCAAACGGGAUUAGAUACCCCCGUA
This 269-nucleotide ribosomal RNA is filed under the name uncultured prokaryote. Its description in RNAcentral is "partial 16S ribosomal RNA". It matches the Rfam family "Bacterial small subunit ribosomal RNA", at positions 524 to 792 of the family's 1533-position model. The record is from RNAcentral.